Molecule: ribosomal RNA, 1436 nt
Filed under: uncultured bacterium
Lineage: Bacteria
Description: bacterial SSU rRNA
Rfam family: Bacterial small subunit ribosomal RNA
Source: RNAcentral
AGAGUUUGAUCCUGGCUCAGAACGUACGCUGGCGGCACGCCUAAUACAUGCAAGUCGAACGAAGUAGCAAUACUUAGUGGCAGACGGGUGAGUAACAUGUAGGUAUCUACCCUUUGGCCUGGAAUAACACGAGGAAACUUGUGCUAAUACCGGAUAAGUCUUUACGGAGAAAGCUUUAUGCACCAUUGGAUGAGCCUGCACUUGAUUAGUUUGUUGGUGGGGUAAUGGCCUACCAAGACAAUGAUCAAUAGCUGAUUUGAGAGGAUGAUCAGCCACAUUGGGACUGAGACACGGCCCAAACUCCUACGGGAGGCAGCAGUAGGGAAUCUUGCACAAUGGAGGAAACUCUGAUGCAGCGAUGCCGCGUGAGUGAAGAAGGCCUUUGGGUUGUAAAGCUCUUUCGUCGGGGAAGAAAAUGACUGUACCCGAAUAAGAAGGUCCGGCUAACUUCGUGCCAGCAGCCGCGGUAAUACGAAGGGACCUAGCGUAGUUCGGAAUUACUGGGCUUAAAGAGUUCGUAGGUGGUUGAAAAAGUUGGUGGUGAAAUCCCAGAGCUUAACUCUGGAACUGCCAUCAAAACUUUUCAGCUAGAGUAUGAUAGAGGAAAGUAGAAUUUCUAGUGUAGAGGUGAAAUUCGUAGAUAUUAGAAAGAAUACCGAUUGCGAAGGCAGCUUUCUGGAUCAUUACUGACACUGAGGAACGAAAGCAUGGGUAGCGAAGAGGAUUAGAUACCCUCGUAGUCCAUGCCGUAAACGAUGUGUGUUAGACGUUGGAAAUUUAUUUUCAGUGUCGCAGCGAAAGCAAUAAACACACCGCCUGGGGAGUACGACCGCAAGGUUAAAACUCAAAUGAAUUGACGGGGACCCGCACAAGUAGUGGAGCAUGUGGUUUAAUUCGAAGAUACGCGCAGAACCUUACCAACACUUGACAUGUUCGUCGCGACUUUAAGAGAUUAAAGUUUUCGGUUCGGCCGGACGAAACACAGGUGCUGCAUGGCUGUCGUCAGCUCGUGUCGUGAGAUGUUGGGUUAAGUCCCGCAACGAGCGCAACCCUCACUUUUAGUUGCCAUCAUUAAGUUGGGCACUCUGAAAGAACUGCCAGUGAUAAGCUGGAGGAAGGUGGGGAUGACGUCAAGUCCUCAUGGCCCUUACGUGUUGGGCUACACACGUGCUACAAUGAUAUCUACAACAGGAAGCAAAACGGCAACGUUAAGCAAAUCCCAAAAAGAUAUCUCAGUUCGGAUUGCACUCUGCAACUCGAGUGCAUGAAGCUGGAAUUACUAGUAAUCGUGGAUCAGCGUGCCACGGUGAAUGCGUUCCCGGGUCUUGUACACACCGCCCGUCACACCAUGGGAGUUGGUUCUACCUUAAGGCAAGGCUUUAAACCCUUGACCACGGUAUAGUCAGCGACUGGGGUGAAGUCGUAACAAGGUAACC